UAAGGGUGCAUACACACACUUCUACUUUUUGCCUCUGGCUUUGGUUUAGCUCUGGUUUGGCUGGUUCAUUUCCUCCAGGCCCUGGAUCCAGUCCCUCUCUCUCUGCCCAGAACUUUGAAGCUCUUUCAGUUCCUCCAUUUCAUCUGAAAAAGCCACUUGUACUGACCUUGUCUUCAGAUCCUGCUUCCCAGAGGUUCAAGUCAUACUUCCAGGCCUGAGCCAUCAGUGCAGGAAGGGAUCCGUGAAUUCACCUCACAGCAGACUUACAGCAGCUUGGACCAAGGGGUUUUCUCGGGUCUUCCCUGGGUGGAAAACUCUCCCAGCCCAGCAGACUGCCCUUGAGAACCCUCUGAACCCCUGGAACCUGGGAGUGUCAGCUUCUGGGUACAAAGUCACCAUUUCCUCCAAAAAUCUCCAUUUCCUCUUACCACGGGUUUCUGCUUCUAUGGCUGUUUUGCUACCUCUGUUCAAUUUCAUUUAAUUUUUAUGGACUUUCUAUUUCUUGUGAAAAGAAGAAUUGUAAUUCUUUCUAAGGAAAACAGCAAAGUGAAGGGUCUGGAGGGUCUAUCCCCCUUCAGCACCCGAACUGCAGAGCCACAAUCAAGCCACGGCUCUUGUGCUUCCCCAUCAGCCUGGACAGGAUCGGGAGCGGUUCCAGGGCCACUCGUUCGGCUCUGGCUCAGAGCCCUCGGGCAGCUCCUCCCCGGAGUGACUGGGAUUUUUAGUAAGCCUUCACAAGAGGGGAAUCUUAUCAUCAUCGUCAUCAUCACCAUCACAUCACCAUCGUCACCAUCCUGUCCCGCGCUGGACUCCGGGCUCCGCCGGCCUCUCUGGCAGAGCCGCUCCGCUCUGCGGCCCCGGAGGGGCUGUCCCGGGAGGGGCCGAGGUGCCGCUGUCCCCACCCGCUCCGGGGUGGCCGAUGCCACGAGGUGUCGCUGCCUGUCAAACAAAACGCGCUUUUCUCCAAGCCACACCGGCUGAAAACUUCAGGAUCCGCAAAAAACUCCUGCUGAGCUUGGAGUGAUUCCCGCAGCAUCCUCGCAUGGCACAGGGGGCACAGCACACCCGAGGUUCUGCUCUCCUGCCCCUCCAGCCUCUGCCUCUGGCUGGGGGGGCCCUGGGAGGGGCCGGAUCUGGUGCUGGCAGCAGCAGGACUGUGACCCCUGGGUGACAGGAGGACACACGGUUGUACCAUCAGUGCCCUGGGACCCUGCUGUGGAGCCUUGUGGUGCCUUUAGGAUGCAGGCAGGGAUGGUGCUGCUGCAGAGGACUGGUAACAGCCUUCAUCCUUGGGCAAAUCACCCAGCUGUGCCCGUGUUCUCCCACUGGUGUACUCCUGUGGAGCAUCAAUAUUCAAAUAUUCUUAUCCACGAACCAGCUGGACACAAUCCUGUGCAAUGGGCUUUAGCAUGGCCCUGCUUGGCCCCACUGUGGCCCUUUCCACCCUGAGUCACUCUGUGGUGCUGUGAAAUGCUUUGGGAGGACUUUGGCAGUCAUUCAUGGCACAAUGUCUCACCCACCCCUCGCUCUGUGACACCCAGGAUCCCCAGGGGACUCCCCCCAUUUUCCACCUGCUCCCUCCCUGCGUGCAGCAGGUGAUGCAGCACAGGAGGGCAAACCCUGCAACCCUCCCUGAGUCAGUGAUGGGUAUCUGCCCUCCCUGAGGAAGGGCACUGCAGGAAAUCCAGUGUGAGGAAGGCACACUGGUUGGGUUUUGUGAAACCUUUGGAAGCAACAGGCAGCACUGAGUGCUGCAAUGUCACCCCAGCUCCUUCCCUUUGCUCUCAGCCCACCUAGGAGCUGCUCUGGCAGAGCUGUAUGUGCUGCAGGCUGGGAGCUGGGGACAGAGACUGAGCCCAGGGAGAAAAAAAAACAGAAUAAAACUUGUAACAGAGCAUUCCUGGUACAGAUGGCACCAUGGGAAACCAAACCUCUGAUCCAUAAGGGCAGCAGGUGAAUGAACAUGAGAAAAUAUCCCUUAGCCCCAAAAUGAAACAAAAAGACAUAUUCUGAGACUGAAAGUGAGGCCUCACUCAGCUCCAAAGUUUUCUCUUGUAAUGUUGGGGGAGAACAUACUGAACAUACCUUAGGGGAAAGUUUUCAAUCAACACAAAGUCCUUGGUUUUGUCCCCUGUCCCAAGAGGGCACCAAGAGGACACCUCUGGCAGUUCUUGUACCCAGCUCUGCCUUCCUUCCCCUGGCUCCUGUGGCUCUGUGGGAUGAGUUGUGCAGCCAAGACAUCCAGGAACUGGAAACAGCCCCGCCCUGGCAGGAGACAGAUCCCAGUGACAGCCUGACACUGCCACCUCCUGCAGCUCCAGCAGCCCCAUCCUGGCUGCAGGGAGCCUCAGUCUUCUUCUCUACCCCUGGGAAAUCUUGGUUGGAGGCUUAGGUCUGACUUUGAAUGUGGCACUCGAUCUUCUGUGGCUCAGCAGGGGAAUUUUUUUCCUCUUCCUGCUCAGGACCAGCCCUGACACACAGGCUGCUGAUGGUUGGACUUGAGGGGAAUUAUUUUGGAAGGUUUACAAAGCAAACAUUGGGGAAAUGAUGGGAUUAUCGAAGGAUGAAAUGCUACUGAGAAUUAAAAGGUUAAAAAAUCUGCAGAGCUGGGGGAUGCCAUAUGGUAAAACAAAAUAUAGCAGUGUCCCCUUGACCCAGACAGGCAUUUGGGCAACCUGUCACCAGGAGGAAGGGAAGAGAAUGGGCUUGGUUUGUUUUUUAAAUUGAGUCUGAAAAGACUUAAAAUGAAAAGCAAAAGCAAAAACAAACCCAUAAAUUUUGUUCCCCAUACAAAUGCUAUGAAUCAUUUAAUCUCCUUUAUUUUCUCUUCUGGGGAAGGGUUUUUACAGGAACCUGGGGCUUUGCCUGGGCACAGGAGCUGGAGCUGGCCAUGAUGAAAGAGUCUGUACAUUUAACAGUUCCUAAAGGUGAGGAGAAUACAGGGAAUGCUGUAAGGACCCCUAGACCCUGUAGGUCAGGAUUUAUGGGACAGUAUUUGGGCCACACUUCUGGGAUGCUGGGAGGGCCCUGCACCCCUGGCAGCAGCAGUUCCUGGUGCUGCAGCUCUGAGCUGGCUCCAGUUUACCUUGGCUGGGACCUGCAGCUUUUUGGGUGCCAUCUGAGGUGUGCAAACACGGAAUCUGGAAUCCUGGAGAUGUCUGUGGAACAUUAAAGGCACAACUUUUGAGCAAAGGCAGCACCUCUGGAAGUUCAGCUGGUUCCCAGAUCCCACAACGACUGGCACAGGAAGAGGGCACAGGGGGCUCCUGGUUGAGUUCUGCAAUGAGCAGAAUCCUUCUCUACCACUGAACAGUUCAGUUCAACAGGUCUCACCUAAAGUCCAAACUGCAACAAAGGAGACAAGUUUGGAUCCUGCCUUGCUCACAGACAGACUUUUCCCUGGGAUGUGUGGAAGACCCAGCCCCAACAAGGGAGUUGCUAAAGACCCAGCCCCAGCUGAUCACCUGUGUUAGGCUGCUUCUCUCUCUUCCCCUGAAACCUGUCCCUUCCCUUGGCAGUGCCUUUCCACCGGGGCUGGGAGCAGGCAGGGAGCCUGCCUGGACACGCAGCCCCGGCGAAACUCGAGCAGAGCCAGGGGAGCACAGCACGUGCUUGGCCACAAGGAGCAGAUCCAGCCCCACGGAACGGCCCCGGGGCACCGAGCCUCCCGAAACCCCCCUCCCCCAGCAGCGUGGGAAAACUGCUGGGGACCCUGCAUGUCCCGACAGAGAGAGGCUUCACGGCAGCCUCUUGUGCUCCCUGAGCCAAGCCGUGCUCCUGGGGGUCAUCCCACAGCACCCCGAGUGUGGGAGCAUCUCCUGCCUGGGGGAUCUGGUGUCGCCUCACUGUGAGGGGUUUCUCUCCUGGUUCAGGACAGUGGGAGCUGGAACGCUGGCCCUGGCUGGCAGGAGGAGCAGGGAUGGCUGCACAGCCCCCACAAGCAGGACAUAAACCCGGUCUUGCAUGGGUUUUAGCAAAGUGAGUGCAGUGUGGGACAGAGGGUCCAGGGAAGGGAAUGGAGCUGGGGAGGGGCUGGAGCAUGAGGAGAGGCUGAGGGAGCUGGGAGGGCUCAGCCUGGAGAAAAGGAGGCUCAGGGGGCACCUUCUCACUCUCCACAAGUCCCUGACAGGAGGGUGCAGUGAGGUGGUUUCAGUCUCUUCUCCCAGGGACAGGACAAGAGGAAACAGCUCCCAGGAGAGUUUUAGAUCAGAUAUUAAGGAAAACUUCUUCACUGGAAGGGGUGUAAACAUUGGAGCAGGCUGCCCAGGGAAGAGGUGGAGUCACCAUCCCUGGAAGUGUUCAGGUCAACGUGGCACUUGGGGACACGAUGUAGUGGGGAACAUGGUGGCACUGCUGGGUCAGUGACAAUCUGAAAGAUCUUUUCCACCCUUAAGGAUUCCAGAACACGGGCAUGCCAUGAAUGUUCUGUGUCUUUAACUGGAACAGCAGCAGGAGCAGGUGAGCUCCCUGCAGAGGAGGAUGUGCAGGGAGCCCAGGGAGGAUUUCCAGGCCAAGCCUGGGAGAUGCUUUUCCCCCGCAACCACCAGUGGCAGCAGCUUCCUGGUGGGGUGGGAAGUCUUUGAAUGUUUGCAAUGUUUUGCAUUGCAGUAUUUGGAUGCCAAAGCUAUGCAGUGCUGUAGAAGUUAAUUAGCCAGAUAACUAAUUAAAGACUUCUCCCUUUUA
Molecule: long non-coding RNA, 4683 nt
Organism: Haemorhous mexicanus (house finch)
Lineage: Eukaryota; Metazoa; Chordata; Aves; Passeriformes; Fringillidae
Exons: 2
Source: RefSeq, a predicted model, not a curated record